Molecule: small nuclear RNA, 109 nt
Filed under: Caenorhabditis japonica
Lineage: Eukaryota; Metazoa; Nematoda; Chromadorea; Rhabditida; Rhabditidae
Description: U2 spliceosomal RNA
Rfam family: U2 spliceosomal RNA
About the family: U2 is a small nuclear RNA (snRNA) component of the spliceosome (involved in pre-mRNA splicing).
Source: Rfam by way of RNAcentral
AUCGCUUCUUCGGCUUAUUAGCUAAGAUCAAAGUGUAGUAUCUGUUCUUAUCCUAUUAACCUACGGUAUACACUCAAAUGAGUGUAAUAAAGGUUACCGUAAAACCUAU